This 22-nucleotide small nuclear RNA is filed under the name Arabidopsis thaliana (thale cress). RNAcentral's name for it is "snRNA_11423". Lineage: Eukaryota; Viridiplantae; Streptophyta; Magnoliopsida; Brassicales; Brassicaceae. The record is from RNAcentral.
GCGAACCGGGAAGAGCCCAGCU